GGAAAGCUCCUCAAGAUGCAUUUGAAGCAUCACAACCCAGGUGAUUCCUGGAAAGCCAGCUUUCAAAGGAGGGAAUCUGUUUUAAUGAUUUCAAGCCAAAUUUUUCACAAUUCUCAAGGUUCCUGAAGAGUUCAAUCUGAGGAAAGGCACAGCUAUGCAUAAGAUGGUUUCAGGAGUAGCAGCAUAUGACAGCAUGGCAUCUUUCCAUACCUGUGGUGCCAGCAGCAUGAUUUGGGAGCAGGGGCCAAGGGAGAAGUUAAUCAUUCUUUUAACCUGUUCUGAAAUCCCAGUGUUAGUUUGCAUCCUAUUCAUCUUCAUUGCUAAAUUAAAUUUCUUUCAGUAAGACUGAGGAAUUGUUUUCAUAAAAAUCUUCCAAUUUUUCUCAGUUUACCUCUUUCAUGAUAAGACAACACAUUAUGCAUUAUAAAUGCACUUACACAUCUAUACAUUAGAUUACAAGUACUUUGAACUAAGGGAAGACCAGCCUGAAUGUCUGCCAAGCAAGGGAUUACUUAUAAAUACCAAGGUGGAGACAUACAGUUCAUUACCUGAUUUAAAUUCUGGAACUAUCCCAUUUUGAAACAGUUUCAUGAACUGAUUCUUGACAGGUACAUUAGGCAAUUUUAUUUAACUUGAAAGAAAACUAUUUUUAUAUUUCUUGAGACUAACUAGGUUAGUAGCUUAAAUUGAAAAAAUAGAAAGGAAGAGGGGGGAAAAAGCAGGAAUUUCUCUGAAAUAAACUAAAACCAGAGUAAAAAAAAACCAAGUAUUUGAUACUGGGACUGUGCAGUGGUAUAGACAGAGAUGUUCUCUUCCUAGACCUGGGGACAGGUGAAAAAAUUCUCAAGUUCUCUUUUUUAUUUUGUUUAAAAAACUCAAAACACUAACACUAUUUCAUCCCUAACUAACUGAGUUUUCUGGUUUCAUCACCUAAGAAUCAGGUGCAAAUACUGAAACCCAAAGAAGACUGUAAGCUGAAUGAGAAAGUCAUACUUAUCACCGAGGAAAGAUUGGUCUUCCAAAAUACUCUCAGGUUUACUUCUGACCCCUGCAUUACACAGCACGGUUAAUUCAAGCGGAACCUGCUCCUCACCACGCAGCAUCGCUUCUGCCCCACAGCUCCGUGCCAUGCUGCACCCAAACAAGUCUUCCACACUAUUCCUUUAAUGCUGCUUCGCUUCAAAUCACUUACAGCUUCUCAGAAAGGCCCUUUGAUGGCUGAGAGUGCCUACAGCAGUUUUUUGGCACCUUUAAGCUCUGUCAAUUUCCACCUAAGUCUUUAAGGUAAAAUCAUAUUUAGGAGCCAUCACAUACAUUCAGGAUGUGGACUUAAAGACUUCAGAUUUGUGAGACUUGUGACAAAUUGUGAGGAUUUGGCACAUUAGAAACUCUAACUAUAAAGAGCUACAAUAGAUGUGUUUGGAGGCAAAAUAAGAACAUGGUAAGAGUAGCUCUCAGAUUCAAUACUGUGUACAAUGUUUAUGAUAAUAAUAUUUAUUAGUAGCAAUUUUUUAUUUGAAACUGUAGUAUCAAUUUGGAAAACAUCAGUUGCACCUGGGUAUUUUAUAAUGACCUUUUCAUAUUUUUUCCUUAAAUCUGAAUGGUCUUAUCAGUAUUCAGAAAAUUGAUAAGGUGCUAGGAACACCUAUAGCAGAGAAAGAGGCAGAGGUAGGGAAGGGCUCUGACAUAUUCUCAUAAUUAACUGCAUAUUAAUUAGAGCAGUAAAGAGUUUGAAUGUUCAAAGCCAUUCUCUUAAGACUGGGUAGGCUGUACAACAAAUGUACUUUAAUUGUCUCUAAAUCCCCUGAUUUCAGCUACUCAAGCAGACAGUAUGAUAGCAGAUUGGUCUCAUAGUGCCACAACAACUGGAUGUUUCCUGAAGGACCAAUACUUCAACACAGCAUAGAGGAGAGAGGUACCUCCAUUAUCUUACAUUUUCUCUUUCAGUCUCUUUUCUUCCCAAAUAAAAGAGAAAAACCCUUAAAGCA
Cyanistes caeruleus (blue tit) is the source of this 1988-nucleotide long non-coding RNA. NCBI's taxonomy places the organism in Eukaryota, Metazoa, Chordata, Aves, Passeriformes, Paridae. The record is from Ensembl.